CUGCGCUAGAUCCGGGACACCAACUCGAGACGCCCCUUAACCCCACGGCACACGUGCUGGCCAACUUCAGGGUUUGUUGCCCGGCCCGCCCCGGGUGGAUCCCCAACCCGGAGAAACGAAUUGGAGCCGACUGCGCCGCCACCCACGUUAGGGGGCGGAGGAAGAAGGGACUUGGGAGGGGCAGGGGUCGUCUACGUCUUCUUUCACUUUGUACUGGUUUUUUUUUUUAAAAAAUGCCUCGCGUCUCAGAGGUUUGGAGAGUUUGGUUAAGGACGGGGUGUAACACGGUGACGGACUGAUGGGCUGAAAGUUUGAGGGUGUCGGAGGAUUUUUAGGUCUUAGUGGUUAACCCCCUAGCAUGAGCGCAUUGAAGGGUGAAAAAGAGGUUCCCUCAUUCAUUUUCUCAUUCAUUCAUUCACUUGAGUCCCGCCCAGGGAUGCUCCCAGGUGUUACUCCUGGUAUGGCUGUCCCUCUAAGAACUCACAGCGAGCUGCUCCCAACCCUCACACCGGCUUUAAAUUUCUAGCAUUUCAGAGCCCAGCAAACAGCCCCAGAGAGUUGAGCCAGAAGUUUGAGGAAGUUCUCCGAGUCACUGCCCAGGUCUUUGAGCUGCUUCUGAGUAACAGGGACUUUUCUGCUCCAUAGCCCUGGAGAAAAAUUUCCCCAAAGCCGUCAGAAGUUACUGAGGUGGAACCAGAAAACCAGAGAUUGGAGUAAGGCUGGAUCAGAGAAAUGGUUCGCCUGGUUAAGGUCCUUGCUUCUGAGCCCGAGGAGGACCUGAAUUUCAUCCCGGAGACCCUCCCACAAGUUGUCCUCUGAGCUCCACGCACAUACACAGAGUCAAUCAGUAAAUGUUCUUUAAUUAGAAGGGAAAAGGAGGUUUUUCAAUAAACCUGACAGCCUUUCAGUGAGACUCUGUCCUUGACCAAUGGAAAAGUCUGAGAAGGAACCUUGCACCGUAACCAUAACUCAGAGAGAAGCAGUUACUCCAUCGAGGGCCAUUUCCCUGGGAAAAGAGAGCUCCAGGGAGCUUGACUUCGGUCUUCAAACAGGCUUAUUCUAUGUGUUCAUGGGACAGAAAUUCAACCAGUGGAUGAAAGGCUGUCUUCUGACCACCACAUCUGUGCUGUGGAACAUGUGAGGCUCCUUCCCCAUCCUGAACUGUCAUCAAUCAAUCCAUCGAUUAGAAAAAAAAUUUUAAAGAAAGAAAGAAACGCUAACAUCAUAAUUAAGAGGGGUCCGGGUUUAAGGAAGCAUCAUAAAACUAUCUUUGUUCUCUUUUCUUUUCCUCAGAAAUCAUUCUCCAAAUAUUAGAACAAGAAAAAGGUUGUUCCUCCAACCUCGGUGAAAAUAUGAGUUUUCAACUCUAAUAAGAUGCCGUGGUGGCACACGCCUCAAAUCCUACCCAGCUCUUGGGAGGCAGAGGCAGGCUGAUCUCUGAGUUCGAAGCUAUCCUGGUCUACAUAGUGAGUUCCAGGACAGCCAGGGCUACACAGAGAAACCCUGUCUCAAAAAAAAAAAAUGCAAAGUAGAUGAAAUAUUGGUAAAUUGAUGUGUCUAGGUUAGGGGUUGAAAGAAUGAAAACUGCAGUUUAAAAAAGAAGUGGUAGAGAAGAAUUUUACACACACACACACACACACAUACACACACUCAUACACACACUCAUACACACACACUCAUACACACACACACUCAUACACAUGCACAAAGGAUGUGUGUGUGGAUUUCUCUCAUCUUAUGAUGGGGUUAUAAAAAUAUCCCCCAACUGCAUUCAAAUACUUCUGUUACUGAACAUAGCUUGGUCUAAUUAACUUACAUUAAACAUGCCUAAAACCCUUCUAUUACACUAUAGUGGGCAAAAUAAUUGAACACAAAGCCUAUUUUAUAGUAAAGGGUUGAAUGUAUCAUAAUUUACUGAAUACCCACCUCCAGAAAAAUAACAACAACAAGGAAUAUGAGCGAUUUAUCCUCUUAAUGACAUGGCUGACCAGAAACUACAGCAGUACAAUUAAAAUUGUAUUGUAUUGCAGGAGCAUUACUGAGUUAGGGGGAAAAAAAUCAAAAUUCAAAAUACAUAUGCUGCCUUUAUCCCACUGUGCAAUUGCAAAAAAAAGCAUUAAAUCAUAAAUUUACUGUGUGCUACACACACUAUGUGUGAUAAAUACAAAAUGGUCUGUUCUAUUCUGAGUACUUUUGUGAAGAUUUGAAAUAUUUCUUAGUUAAAUGUUUAAGCCCAGAAAAGUCAGGUAGUUGUGGGAAUGACAGUCCCACAUUCCAAGGAAGUUGGGGGAAUUUAAGGAAGCUGGGGGAAUUUAGAGCAUGUUGAGGUGAGGGCGGAAACCAAGGAAAUGGUGGAACAUCUGUAUAAAGAAAAGCAAGAUGCCCAUGUUCCCACUGAUUCAGGUGACACCCUCCACUUCCUCCAAAGACAGAAGCUUGACCUAGUUCAGAUCUCAGAACCUAUGUAAAACCAGACACAGGACUAGCACAUGUCUGUAAUCCCAGUGUCUCUACAGGAGAGAUGGGAGCCAGAGACAAGAGCAUCCCUGGAGAGCAGCCUGAUAUAAAGCAAUAGCAAACGGAUGUGAUGGAAGAUGUCCUCAGUAUGACUAUAAUGUGCCCCAAAGAAAUACUGCUAAUAGGGGCUGGAGAGAUGGCUCAGCAGUGAAGAACACUGGCUGAUCUUCCAGAGGACCCGGGUUUGAUUCCCAGCACCUACAAAGAGGCUCACCAUGAUUCAUAACUCCAGUUCCAGAUGAUCUGAUGCCAUCUUCUGACCUCCCUGAGCACCAGAUAUGCACGCGGUACACAGACACACAUGCAGACAAAACACCCAUACACAUAAGAUAAUAAAACAAUUUUUAAAAA
Molecule: long non-coding RNA, 2868 nt
Organism: Peromyscus californicus insignis
Lineage: Eukaryota; Metazoa; Chordata; Mammalia; Rodentia; Cricetidae
Exons: 4
Source: RefSeq, a predicted model, not a curated record